This 449-nucleotide ribosomal RNA is filed under the name uncultured bacterium. RNAcentral describes it as "partial 16S ribosomal RNA". It matches the Rfam family "Bacterial small subunit ribosomal RNA", at positions 29 to 523 of the family's 1533-position model. The record is from RNAcentral.
AACGAACGCUGGCGGCAGGCUUAACACAUGCAAGUGGAACGCAUCCCUCGGGGCGAGUGGCAGACGGGUGAGUAACGCGUGGGAACGUGCCCUUCAGUUUGGGAUAACCCAGGGAAACUUGGGCUAAUACUGGAUACGUGCGAGAGCAGAAAGAUUUAUCGCUGGAGGAUCGGCCCGCGUCUGAUUAGCUAGUUGGUGGGGUAAUGGCCCACCAAGGCGACGAUCGGUAGCUGGUCUGAGAGGAUGAUCAGCCACAUUGGGACUGAGACACGGCCCAAACUCCUACGGGAGGCAGCAGUGGGGAAUAUUGGACAAUGGGCGCAAGCCUGAUCCAGCCAUGCCGCGUGAGUGAUGAAGGCCUUAGGGUUGUAAAGCUCUUUCGUCCGGGACGAUAAUGACGGUACCGGAAGAAGAAGCCCCGGCUAACUUCGUGCCAGCAGCCGCGGUAA